UGGUCUGCUAAAUGGAUUCCUCCCUCAC
Molecule: non-coding RNA, 28 nt
Filed under: Mus musculus (house mouse)
Lineage: Eukaryota; Metazoa; Chordata; Mammalia; Rodentia; Muridae
Source: RNAcentral